CUGGAUGUGCUCGUUAGUCAUAAUAUCCUCCACAAAGCAAGGACUAUGACUAGAGACACAUUCAGCU
RNAcentral lists this microRNA precursor (67 nucleotides) under Caenorhabditis elegans. The record is from RNAcentral. Lineage: Eukaryota; Metazoa; Nematoda; Chromadorea; Rhabditida; Rhabditidae.